UUCUGUCGAACCUGUCAUGAUGGUACAUUAAUCAAAUGAGUUAGUAACAAAAAAUCAAAUAUACUGUCAGCAAACCAAACCAAUAAUGUUUGAUGACAGAUAUCGGUUAGAGCUAAUUUAAUUUAGAUUUGUAGUUUUGUCUUUCUAGCUGAUAUAUGUUAUCGAACAAACAUCAAUAGUGGAAACCAAGGUUUUCAACAACACAAUUCAAAGUAAAUGAAACAAAGAGGUUAGUUUGUGCACACAUAACUGAUUUUAUUUUAUAGGUGAUUCUUUUGGCAUGGUAAGUGUCACUUUGUUGGUAUUUCUGCACUCUUUUGUUUAUCCAUAUUUUGAAUCAGUUUCCUGUAGUGAGGUGCAUGCCUCUAAGGAAUUUAUGGUUUAUGUGAGGCAUACCUUCAACACUUUAUCGAAAAUUAUAGAUGUUGAUUUUAAUUUUAUUGUACUCAUGAUUUGUGGCAAUACUUUAGCUUAUGAAAUUGCAUGUUUGAAAUCUCCAUGAAAUUGAGCUAAGUUAUGAGAGUUGCCAGAUAAGUUCAGCCGGUGUAUACUAAGAUCUCCAUGAAAAUUACAAUUUUUGCAUAACUAAUACAUGUGCAGUGCAAAUGGGAUAAAUGCAAUUGUAUCAUGAAAGCAUGCUCACAAAAAUGUGUUAACCAAUAGUGUGCAACUAUUUGGUUGCCAUACUUUUCUUGCUUUCCCAGAAAAGUUACAAGCCUCCUAAA
Molecule: long non-coding RNA, 725 nt
Filed under: Trifolium pratense (red clover)
Lineage: Eukaryota; Viridiplantae; Streptophyta; Magnoliopsida; Fabales; Fabaceae
Description: long non-coding RNA (TPRA_LNC009368)
Source: RNAcentral